CUGACGUCCCGAGCAGUGCUGGGAAGUAUAGGCUGUGUUGUCACGCCGGUGUCAGUCUGAUGAAGAUUGGCAUCAGGUGAAGUCUGGAGCAGGACUCUAAGGCUUUCUGUCCUCCAUGCCGCUUACCAGAAGAGGGACUGUGAACUGUGCGUUGGCUCUAGCUGACAGGAAGAAUUUCUGGUCCAGCUGGAAGUGAGACGAGGGGAGUGAGUCUCCUGAGGGCCAUCCACGAGGCCACCAGGAUCACCGAACAAUCCUCGAUGUGAAUCAACCCCAUGAUGCAACAUGCCUCCCCUGCCCCAGCUCUGACGAUGAUGGCCACGCAGAAUGUCCCUCCCCCACCCUACCAGGACAGUCCAC
Molecule: long non-coding RNA, 360 nt
Organism: Hipposideros armiger (great roundleaf bat)
Lineage: Eukaryota; Metazoa; Chordata; Mammalia; Chiroptera; Hipposideridae
Exons: 4
Source: RefSeq, a predicted model, not a curated record